AUUGGAACAUGGCGUCAUAGAGGGUGAGAAUCCCGUAUGUGACUGUGGCUCGAGCCCAUGUGAAGCCUCUUCGACGAGUCGAGUUGUUUGGGAAUGCAGCUCAAAAUGGGUGGUAAAUUUCAUCUAAAGCUAAAUACUGGCUGGAGACCGAUAGCGCACAAGUAGAGUGAUCGAAAGAUGAAAAGCACUUUGGAAAGAGAGUCAAACAGUACGUGAAAUUGUUGAAAGGGAAGCGCUUGCAACCAGACCUGUCCGUAGGUGAUCAGCCGCUGUUCUCAGUGGUGCACUCGCUCUACGAUCAGGCCAGCAUCGGUUCUGGCGGCCGGAUAAAGGCCUUGGGAAUGUAGCUCCCUCCGGGGAGUCUUAUAGCCCUCGGUGCAAUGCGGCCAGCCGGGACCGAGGACCGCGCUUCGGCUAGGAUGCUGGCGUAAUGGUUGUAAGCGACCCGUCUUGAAACACGGACCAAGGAGUCUACCAUCUACGCGAGUGUUUGGGUGUUAAACCCAUGCGCGGAAUGAAA
This 520-nucleotide ribosomal RNA is filed under the name Flavocetraria cucullata. Its description in RNAcentral is "LSU rRNA". It matches the Rfam family "Eukaryotic large subunit ribosomal RNA", at positions 189 to 724 of the family's 3401-position model. The record is from RNAcentral. Lineage: Eukaryota; Fungi; Ascomycota; Lecanoromycetes; Lecanorales; Parmeliaceae.